Dipodomys ordii (Ord's kangaroo rat) is the source of this 65-nucleotide non-coding RNA. The record is from Rfam. Lineage: Eukaryota; Metazoa; Chordata; Mammalia; Rodentia; Heteromyidae.
GGUGGCUCAGUGGUAGAGUACUUGCUUUGUAUGCAUGAGUCCCUGGGUUCGAUUCCUCAGUACUA